AUCUAUGGCCAUGCUACCCUGAACAAGCCUGAUCCUGUCUAAUCUCAGAAGCUAAGCAGGGUUGGGCCUGGUUAGUGCUUGGAUGGGAGACCACCUAGGAAGACCAGGUGCUGUAGGUG
RNAcentral lists this ribosomal RNA (119 nucleotides) under Pteropus alecto (black flying fox). Lineage: Eukaryota; Metazoa; Chordata; Mammalia; Chiroptera; Pteropodidae. The record is from RNAcentral.